Nelumbo nucifera (sacred lotus) is the source of this 1484-nucleotide non-coding RNA. The record is from RefSeq and is a predicted model, not a curated record. Lineage: Eukaryota; Viridiplantae; Streptophyta; Magnoliopsida; Proteales; Nelumbonaceae.
AUUUGUGAAUUUGUAACUUAAUUGGGAUUGUCGAGAAGUAGUUUAAUUUGGAUUAUUCCAAUACUUAACUAGGCUCUGUUUAGAUUGAAAAUCGAGAGAGAGAGAGAGACUAUUUAAUUACUGUUGUUUCAACAAGUUACACAAUUUUUUACGAUUUCAUGAUAAACAAAUGAUCCUAAACGCGACUAUAUGUAAUAGUCAUAGGUUACUUUGCUUCUCUAGAGAAUCCAUUCUCAAUGAGAAAGUACAAGGAAUUGUAGCUUGCUAAUCCUGAUAUCAAGUGUCAAAUUAAAGGGUGAACAUGAAGUUUGACGAUAAGAGGGGCAGUAAUUUGCUAAGCCUUUGCGUAAUUAAAGUCGUCUAUUCAAGCAUCUCUGUUGCAAAUGGUUUAGGGAACCGUUUGGGGUGGGAGUUUAACUUCAAAUAUAUGCAACUGCUUAAAUUAGAGUCUGUUUGUCAAGUCUUUCUGCGCUGUCUUCCGUUUAUUUAAAAAAGCCCGAAAGACAAAAAAUCAGUCUAUUUCCGUUUGAUUCGCGUAAGAUCUCGCCGCCGAAAACCCUGCGCCGAAAAAUCUGGAAAAGCCCAAUUUGAGCUUAUUUCGUCGUAGCUUCCGGGUUUUUACGCCCUGCCCUCUCGGAGCUUCACCAUACGUGUGCGACCUUUCACACGCACACAACUAUGAAUAGUAAACCCUCGAUGAACCCCCCAAACCUCUCUAAUUCGUAUACGUGACACCUCUUAGGUCUCACAGGAGAUUACAAAUCCUCUGCUUCAUUCUUCCGUUGUCAUCGCCUUUGACGCCGGCUUCUAAUCGGGAUCACAUCCUCCCGACACCCCCCGUACCGUCGAUGUCCAUGAGGAAGACCCAAUUAUUCGAGCGAUUCCGGACUCGGAGAGUAGUGAUUCUAUCGGUGAGUCGAACUGGUGGGCCGACUUGGCUGCGAGCGUUCAUGUGUUCACUGGAUCUAUACUGAGGAUGGAGCUUGCGGAGAUGGAGAUGAUCAAGGCAAGGGAGGCUUGGCGGGUUGAAAAAGAGAGGCGCCUAAUUGAAUCGGAAGCCGAGAUGACUCAGAUGUUGCUGGAGACACAAUUGCAGGUCGCCUCGUUUCUUUUGCAAAAGAAUCAGAAGCGGAAGCGAAAGUGAGUCAAAGAUGAAGACGAGUAGAACUCCGAUCGCCUCCUUGUCACUGUGUUCGUUAUUUUUAAAUUAAACGAUGACUUGGUCGAAUCUUUUUUUUUUUUUUUUUCAAUUCUAAACUUUCUGAAACCAGUAUAAGUUCAUAGCCUUGCCACGACUCGGAGUUUUACAAUGUCACAUGACUUGGUGAGAUGAUCGAGUCAGUAGUUACUCACUCGGCCACUUCAUCUAUGCUCCUUUCAAGAGGAUAUAAGUUCAGUGGCCAGCAUGAACCGUUACAAAUUUUUCCAAAGAUUUCUUUUUGGUAUUUACAUUGUGCUUUUUCCCUAACUCCAGAUUUUGAGCA